GUGCAGCAGGCGCGAAAACUCCGCAAUGCGCGAAAGCGUGACGGGGGAACCCCAAGUGCCGUUGGUCUUCUGAUCGACGGCUUUUGUGGAGUCUAGGAAGCUCCACGAAUAAGGGCUGGGUAAGUCGGGUGCCAGCCGCCGCGGUAAUACCCGCAGCCCAAGUGGUGGUCGCGAUUAUUGGGCCUAAAGCGCUCGUAGCCGGACUAGCAAGUCCCUUGUGAAAUCGGGCGGCCUAACCGUUCGGCUUGCAAGGGAUACUGCUGGCCUUGAGGCCGGAAGACGCCGAGGGUACUCUGGGGGUAGCGGUGAAAUGCUGUAAUCCUCGGGGGACCACCAGUGGCGAAGGCGCUCGGCGAGAACGGACCUGACGGUGAGGGGCGAAGGCUAGGGGAGCGAACGGGAUUAGAUUUGGAAAGGAGAAAUAUCCUUCCACUGAAGACCCGGGUAGUCC
Molecule: ribosomal RNA, 451 nt
Filed under: uncultured archaeon
Lineage: Archaea
Description: partial 16S ribosomal RNA
Rfam family: Archaeal small subunit ribosomal RNA
Source: RNAcentral